This 245-nucleotide ribosomal RNA is filed under the name uncultured bacterium. RNAcentral describes it as "partial 16S ribosomal RNA". It matches the Rfam family "Bacterial small subunit ribosomal RNA", at positions 29 to 299 of the family's 1533-position model. The record is from RNAcentral.
AACGAACGCUGGCGGCAGGCCUAACACAUGCAAGUCGAGCGGACCCUUCGGGGUUAGCGGCGGACGGGUGAGUAACGCGUGGGAAUAUGCCCUUCUCUACGGAAUAGUCUCGGGAAACUGGGGGUAAUACCGUAUACGCCCUUUGGGGGAAAGGAUUUAUCGGAGAAGGAUUAGCCCGCGUUGGAUUAGGUAGUUGGUGGGGUAAUGGCCUACCAAGCCGACGAUCCAUAGCUGGUUUUGAGAGG